Molecule: ribosomal RNA, 256 nt
Filed under: Salmonella enterica subsp. enterica serovar Heidelberg
Lineage: Bacteria; Pseudomonadati; Pseudomonadota; Gammaproteobacteria; Enterobacterales; Enterobacteriaceae
Also listed under: 2 other names
Description: partial 23S ribosomal RNA
Rfam family: Bacterial large subunit ribosomal RNA
Source: RNAcentral
GACAGCCAGGAUGUUGGCUUAGAAGCAGCCAUCAUUUAAAGAAAGCGUAAUAGCUCACUGGUCGAGUCGGCCUGCGCGGAAGAUGUAACGGGGCUAAACCAUGCACCGAAGCUGCGGCAGCGACACUAUGUGUUGUUGGGUAGGGGAGCGUUCUGUAAGCCUGUGAAGGUGGCCUGUGAGGGUUGCUGGAGGUAUCAGAAGUGCGAAUGCUGACAUAAGUAACGAUAAAGCGGGUGAAAAGCCCGCUCGCCGGAAG